Unclassified non-coding RNA from Macaca mulatta (Rhesus monkey), 148 nucleotides. It matches the Rfam family "Metazoan signal recognition particle RNA". Rfam says of the family: The signal recognition particle (SRP) is a universally conserved ribonucleoprotein. It is involved in the co-translational targeting of proteins to membranes. NCBI's taxonomy places the organism in Eukaryota, Metazoa, Chordata, Mammalia, Primates, Cercopithecidae. The record is from Ensembl.
GCCAGGCAUGGUGGUGCGUGCCUGUAAUCCUAGCUACUUGGGAGGCUGAGGCAGGAGAAUCGCUUGAACCCAGGAGGCAGAGGUUGCAGUGAGCCAAGAUUGCGCCGCUGCACUCCAGCCUGGGUGACAGAGCAAGACUCUGUCAUUU